Molecule: ribosomal RNA, 466 nt
Filed under: Bacillus sp. 7586-K
Lineage: Bacteria; Bacillati; Bacillota; Bacilli; Caryophanales; Bacillaceae
Description: bacterial LSU rRNA
Rfam family: Bacterial large subunit ribosomal RNA
Source: RNAcentral
AAACGCGAUUUCCUGAGUAGCGGCGAGCGAAACGGAAUUAGCCCAAACCAAGAGGCUUGCCUCUUGGGGUUGUAGGACACUCUAUACGGAGUUACAAAGGAACGGAGUAAAUGAAGAGGUCUGGAAAGGCCCGUCAAAGAAGGUAACAACCCUGUAGUUGAAACUUCGUUCCCUCCAGAGUGGAUCCUGAGUACGGCGGGACACGUGAAAUCCCGUCGGAAGCAGGGAGGACCAUCUCCCAAGGCUAAAUACUCCCUAGUGACCGAUAGUGAACCAGUACCGUGAGGGAAAGGUGAAAAGCACCCCGGAAGGGGAGUGAAAGAGAUCCUGAAACCGUGUGCCUACAAGUAGUCAAAGCCCGUUAAUGGGUAAUGGCGUGCCUUUUGUAGAAUGAACCGGCGAGUUACGAUCCCGUGCAAGGUUAAGUUGAAGAGACGGAGCCGCAGCGAAAGCGAGUCUGAAUAGG